UUAAGCGACUAAGCGUACACGGUGGAUGCCCUGGCAGUCAGAGGCGAUGAAGGGCGUGCUAAUCUGCGAUAAGCGCCGGUAAGGUGAUAUGAACCGUUAUAACCGGCGAUACCCGAAUGGGGAAACCCAGUGUGAUUCGUCACACUAUCAUUAACUGAAUCCAUAGGUUAAUGAGGCGAACCGGGGGAACUGAAACAUCUAAGUACCCCGAGGAAAAGAAAUCAACCGAGAUUCCCCCAGUAGCGGCGAGCGAACGGGGAGGAGCCCAGAGCCUGAAUCAGCAUGUGUGUUAGUGGAAGCGUCUGGAAAGGCGCGCGAUACAGGGUGACAGCCCCGUACACAAAAGCGCAUGUGCUGUGAGCUCGAUGAGUAGGGCGGGACACGUGGUAUCCUGUCUGAAUAUGGGGGGACCAUCCUCCAAGGCUAAAUACUCCUGACUGACCGAUAGUGAACCAGUACCGUGAGGGAAAGGCGAAAAGAACCCCGGCGAGGGGAGUGAAAAAGAACCUGAAACCGUGUACGUACAAGCAGUGGGAGCACAGGUUUACCUGUGUGACUGCGUACCUUUUGUAUAAUGGGUCAGCGACUUAUAUUCUGUAGCAAGGUUAACCGAAUAGGGGAGCCGGAGGGAAACCGAGUCUUAACCGGGCGUUAAGUUGCAGGGUAUAGACCCGAAACCCGGUGAUCUAGCCAUGGGCAGGUUGAAGGUUGGGUAACACUAACUGGAGGACCGAACCGACUAAUGUUGAAAAAUUAGCGGAUGACCUGUGGCUGGGGGUGAAAGGCCAAUCAAACCGGGAGAUAGCUGGUUCUCCCCGAAAGCUAUUUAGGUAGCGCCUCGUGAAUUCAUCUCCGGGGGUAGAGCACUGUUUCGGCUAGGGGGCCAUCCCGGCUUACCAACCCGAUGCAAACUGCGAAUACCGGAGAAUGUUAUCACGGGAGACACACGGCGGGUGCUAACGUCCGUCGUGAAGAGGGAAACAACCCAGACCGCCAGCUAAGGUCCCAAAGUCAUGGUUAAGUGGGAAACGAUGUGGGAAGGCCCAGACAGCCAGGAUGUUGGCUUAGAAGCAGCCAUCAUUUAAAGAAAGCGUAAUAGCUCACUGGUCGAGUCGGCCUGCGCGGAAGAUGUAACGGGGCUAAACCAUGCACCGAAGCUGCGGCAGCGAACGUAUCACUUAAAGCGAUUCAGCGGGUUACGAUUGACGGAGCGAAGCGACGUCAAAGCGUAUACAAAGUCGAGUCGGUUUAAGGAUACGUUCGUUGGGUAGGGGAGCGUUCUGUAAGCCUGUGAAGGUGGCCUGUGAGGGUUGCUGGAGGUAUCAGAAGUGCGAAUGCUGACAUAAGUAACGAUAAAGCGGGUGAAAAGCCCGCUCGCCGGAAGACCAAGGGUUCCUGUCCAACGUUAAUCGGGGCAGGGUGAGUCGACCCCUAAGGCGAGGCCGAAAGGCGUAGUCGAUGGGAAACGGGUUAAUAUUCCCGUACUUGGUGUUACUGCGAAGGGGGGACGGAGAAGGCUAUGUUGGCCGGGCGACGGUUGUCCCGGUUUAAGCGUGUAGGUGUGUGUUCCAGGUAAAUCCGGUUCACUUUAACACUGAGGCGUGACGACGAGGCACUACGGUGCUGAAGCAACAAAUGCCCUGCUUCCAGGAAAAGCCUCUAAGCAUCAGGUAACAUCAAAUCGUACCCCAAACCGACACAGGUGGUCAGGUAGAGAAUACCAAGGCGCUUGAGAGAACUCGGGUGAAGGAACUAGGCAAAAUGGUGCCGUAACUUCGGGAGAAGGCACGCUGACACGUAGGUGAAGUGAUUUACUCAUGGAGCUGAAGUCAGUCGAAGAUACCAGCUGGCUGCAACUGUUUAUUAAAAACACAGCACUGUGCAAACACGAAAGUGGACGUAUACGGUGUGACGCCUGCCCGGUGCCGGAAGGUUAAUUGAUGGGGUCAGCGCAAGCGAAGCUCCUGAUCGAAGCCCCGGUAAACGGCGGCCGUAACUAUAACGGUCCUAAGGUAGCGAAAUUCCUUGUCGGGUAAGUUCCGACCUGCACGAAUGGCGUAAUGAUGGCCAGGCUGUCUCCACCCGAGACUCAGUGAAAUUGAACUCGCUGUGAAGAUGCAGUGUACCCGCGGCAAGACGGAAAGACCCCGUGAACCUUUACUAUAGCUUGACACUGAACAUUGAGCCUUGAUGUGUAGGAUAGGUGGGAGGCUUUGAAGUGUGGACGCCAGUCUGCAUGGAGCCGACCUUGAAAUACCACCCUUUAAUGUUUGAUGUUCUAACGUGGACCCGUUACCCGGGUUGCGGACAGUGUCUGGUGGGUAGUUUGACUGGGGCGGUCUCCUCCUAAAGAGUAACGGAGGAGCACGAAGGUUGGCUAAUCCUGGUCGGACAUCAGGAGGUUAGUGCAAUGGCAUAAGCCAGCUUGACUGCGAGCGUGACGGCGCGAGCAGGUGCGAAAGCAGGUCAUAGUGAUCCGGUGGUUCUGAAUGGAAGGGCCAUCGCUCAACGGAUAAAAGGUACUCCGGGGAUAACAGGCUGAUACCGCCCAAGAGUUCAUAUCGACGGCGGUGUUUGGCACCUCGAUGUCGGCUCAUCACAUCCUGGGGCUGAAGUAGGUCCCAAGGGUAUGGCUGUUCGCCAUUUAAAGUGGUACGCGAGCUGGGUUUAGAACGUCGUGAGACAGUUCGGUCCCUAUCUGCCGUGGGCGCUGGAGAACUGAGGGGGGCUGCUCCUAGUACGAGAGGACCGGAGUGGACGCAUCACUGGUGUUCGGGUUGUCAUGCCAAUGGCACUGCCCGGUAGCUAAAUGCGGAAGAGAUAAGUGCUGAAAGCAUCUAAGCACGAAACUUGCCCCGAGAUGAGUUCUCCCUGAGACUUUAGGUCUCCUGAAGGAACGUUGAAGACGACGACGUUGAUAGGCCGGGUGUGUAAGCGCAGCGAUGCGUUGAGCUAACCGGUACUAAUGAACCGUGAGGCUUAACCUU
Molecule: ribosomal RNA, 2987 nt
Filed under: Salmonella enterica subsp. enterica serovar Manhattan
Lineage: Bacteria; Pseudomonadati; Pseudomonadota; Gammaproteobacteria; Enterobacterales; Enterobacteriaceae
Description: bacterial LSU rRNA
Rfam family: Bacterial large subunit ribosomal RNA
Source: RNAcentral